AUGCCGGUGCUGCGGCGAAUUGACCGGAUCAAUGCGUCCUCGGUGAUUAUCCGCCAGAUCCCGGCUUUCUCCGGAUCUCCCGGCCAGAAUGUGACACUGAAUUGUCAUGCAGAGGGGAGUAUCAACGCUGGUGAUUGGUUGUUCUGGUACAGGCAGUACCCGGGUAAGGGGCUUGAGAACAUUUUCUUCUCGACAGUAGCCAUGAGUGUGCAGCCAGAGGGCUCAGUGGACAGUUUUAAGGCAGAGAGACCGAGUAGCGACGUCUUCAAGCUGAAGUCCUCCGGCUUGGAGGCGAAUUCGUCGGCCGUUUAUUUCUGCGCCUGGAGUUGUCACAGCGACUCAGGCGGACGGGGGAGCUGA
Non-coding RNA from Pristis pectinata (smalltooth sawfish), 360 nucleotides. Lineage: Eukaryota; Metazoa; Chordata; Chondrichthyes; Rhinopristiformes; Pristidae. The record is from the annotation of a RefSeq genome assembly.